This 253-nucleotide ribosomal RNA is filed under the name uncultured bacterium. Its description in RNAcentral is "partial 16S ribosomal RNA". It matches the Rfam family "Bacterial small subunit ribosomal RNA", at positions 524 to 776 of the family's 1533-position model. The record is from RNAcentral.
UACAGAGGGUGCAAGCGUUAAUCGGAAUUACUGGGCGUAAAGCGUGCGUAGACGGUUAUUUAAGUCAGGUGUGAAAGCCCCGGGCUCAACCUGGGAAUUGCAUUUGAGACUGAAUAGCUAGGGUGCGGAAGAGGGAAGCGGAGUUUCCGGUGUAGCGGUGAAAUGCGUAGAUAUCGGAAGGAACACCAGUGGCGAAAGCGGCUUCCUGGUCCAGCACCGACGUUCAGGCACGAAAGCGUGGGGAGCAAACAGG